AGUGAACGCUGGCGGUAGGCCUAACGCAUGCAAGUCGAACGGCAGCACAGUAAGAGCUUGCUCUUACGGGUGGCGAGUGGCGGACGGGUGAGGAAUACAUCGGAAUCUACUUUUUCGUGGGGGAUAACGUAGGGAAACUUACGCUAAUACCGCAUACGACCUACGGGUGAAAGCAGGGGAUCUUCGGACCUUGCGCGAUUGAAUGAGCCGAUGUCGGAUUAGCUAGUUGGCGGGGUAAAGGCCCACCAUGGCGACGAUCCGUAGCUGGUCUGAGAGGAUGAUCAGCCACACUGGAACUGAGACACGGUCCAGACUCCUACGGGAGGCAGCAGUGGGGAAUAUUGGACAAUGGGCGCAAGCCUGAUCCAGCCAUACCGCGUGGGUGAAGAAGGCCUUCGGGUUGUAAAGCCCUUUUGUUGGGAAAGAAAAGCAGCAGGUUAAUACCCCGCUGUUCUGACGGUACCCAAAGAAUAAGCACCGGCUAACUUCGUGC
Molecule: ribosomal RNA, 493 nt
Filed under: uncultured bacterium
Lineage: Bacteria
Description: partial 16S ribosomal RNA
Rfam family: Bacterial small subunit ribosomal RNA
Source: RNAcentral